CGACCGCUGGCGGCGUGCUUAACACAUGCAAGUCGAACGGAAAGGCCCUGCAUUUGUGGGGUGCUCGAGUGGCGAACGGGUGAGUAACACGUGAGUAACCUGCCCUUGACUUUGGGAUAACUUCAGGAAACUGGGGCUAAUACCGGAUAGGAGCUCCUGCUGCAUGGUGGGGGUUGGAAAGUUUCGGCGGUUGGGGAUGGACUCGCGGCUUAUCAGCUUGUUGGUGGGGUAGUGGCUUACCAAGGCUUUGACGGGUAGCCGGCCUGAGAGGGUGACCGGCCACAUUGGGACUGAGAUACGGCCCAGACUCCUACGGGAGGCAGCAGUGGGGAAUAUUGCACAAUGGGCGGAAGCCUGAUGCAGCAACGCCGCGUGCGGGAUGACGGCCUUCGGGUUGUAAACCGCUUUCGCCUGUGACGAAGCGUGAGUGACGGUAAUGGGUAAAGAAGCACCGGCUAACUACGUG
RNAcentral lists this ribosomal RNA (466 nucleotides) under uncultured bacterium. Its description in RNAcentral is "partial 16S ribosomal RNA". It matches the Rfam family "Bacterial small subunit ribosomal RNA", at positions 30 to 507 of the family's 1533-position model. The record is from RNAcentral.